UAUGUAUGGCUUUCUUUUCUCAUGGAUAUGUCUGGUCAUUUGUGUGAUGCAGACUGUUCAAUAUCCAGUGGAGCACCCUGAGAAAUUCGAGAAAUUCGGAAUGUCACCUUCUAAGGGAGUUCUUUUCUAUGGCCCUCCUGGAUGUGGGAAAACUCUUCUGGCUAAAGCUAUUGCCAACGAGUGCCAGGCAAAUUUCAUCAGUGUGAAGGGUCCUGAAUUGCUGACAAUGUGGUUCGGUGAGAGUGAAGCCAACGUCCGAGAAAUUUUUGACAAGGCUCGGCAAUCUGCUCCUUGUGUUCUCUUCUUUGAUGAACUUGACUCAAUUGCUACUCAGGUUUGUGUCAGACUCUGGGUGAAUGAUUCAGUGCUUUCAGUAUAACGGUGAUUUGAGGACCUUUGUAUCACUACAGCACAUAGUUAGAGAUUUUUAAGUCCCUAGAAUUUGAGGAUUUGUUUAGCAAGAAAGAACAAUAUAUUUUGUUCAUUGCUUCUUUCUCACUGUUUUAUGCCAUAUUAUGCAGAGAGGAAGCAGUGUGGGAGAUGCUGGCGGUGCUGCUGAUAGGGUUUUGAACCAGCUUCUUACAGAGAUGGAUGGCAUGUCUGCAAAGAAAACUGUUUUUAUAAUCGGGGCCACUAAUAGACCUGAUAUCAUAGACCCUGCACUUUUGCGUCCUGGCCGUCUUGAUCAGUUGAUUUACAUCCCUCUUCCUGAUGAGGACUCGCGACACCAAAUUUUCAAGGCUUGCUUAAGGAAAUCACCAGUCUCCAAAGAUGUUGACCUCAGAGCACUUGCCAAGUAUACUCAGGGCUUCAGUGGUGCUGAUAUCACUGAAAUAUGCCAGCGCGCAUGCAAAUAUGCUAUAAGAGAGAAUAUUGAAAAGGUAUGUUUUUCCUUUAUAUUCUUGUUAUCCUAGUUAUGUUUUUUUAUUUGUUAUUAUUGUAUAUAAUCAUAUGCAUCCGCAUUCUAUCUUGCAGGACAUUGAAAGGGAGAGGAGGCGAAGGGAUAAUCCAGAAGCUAUGGAGGAAGAUGUUGAGGAUGAUGUGGCAGAGAUCAAGGCGGCACACUUCGAGGAGUCCAUGAAGUAUGCCCGCAGGAGUGUGAGUGAUGCAGACAUUCGCAAAUACCAGGCAUUUGCUCAGACUUUGCAACAAUCAAGAGGCUUUGGAUCAGAAUUCAGGUUUUCUGAAGCUACUGGUGCAGCUGCUGGAGCUGAUCCAUUUGCAGCUUCGGCAGGUGGGGAGGCGGAUGAUGACGAUCUAUACAGUUAGACAAUUAGUUUCAAACACGUGCAUUUGUUAUUUAUGUUGGCCCUGUAUGUGUAUUUCUUAACUUCCAUACAUGUAGUUUUAAGAAUGCAUGGCAAUUUUAUUUCUGCCGAAGUUAGCCUUUCCACCAGUACUACGUGGUACAUGGGUUGUGUUUGCUGGUCUACUAUUUGCUUGUCUUGGGUGUUUUCCCUUUUAAAUUUGGAUCAAAUUAGCCCUGAUAGGUAUUUUCAAAGUACUGGUAAAAAGGGAUGUGAGAAGUGGAAGCAUGGGAUUGGGAGGUCUUCUAUGAAGUAGAUCAAUUUGUUUUGUGGUGGAGCAAACAACUAAGGACCAAAUUCUUUAUUCUACAAAUAAGGUAUGGAUUAUAUUAUAAAGCUAAAGUUCAAUACCAAUGGUACUUUUGUAAUACUCCGAAAGUGAUAGGGUUUUUUUUUUAUUCCAUCUUGUUAAUUUAAUUUCAUAAUCUAAUUACGGAUGGAAAUGGGUAAGGUAUGAGUAAGUUAGCAUCAUAUCUUUAUACGCAUCCAUUCAUUCUCUAUCCAUAGAAUUUUGGGUAGUAAAUAUUAAAUCUCUCCUUAGUACGUAGAAUUUCAGAUAACUUAUGAAUAAUUCACUAUUCAAAUAGUUACUAAAUAUAAUAAAGCUUUUAUAAGAUAAUUAAUUAUUAAUGACUAAUAAUUAUUAUUUUUUAUCAAUGAAUAUGUUAUUAAUUUAUUAAUUAAUGAAUAUUUGUAAUUUUAGAUGUUAUGUUUUAGUUAAUUAUUUAUGUAUUUUUAUCAAGAAUAAGAAUAUGAUCAAAAGCUGGUGUGCAUAUAUAUAGAAUUCGAAAAAUAUCAUUUAUAUAUAUAUAAAUAGUAGAGGUUAUAUAUAUAUAGGUCAAAUAAAUUUAUUAUUUUAUAUAUUAAGCAAGAUUAUUUAUUUAGUAUAUUAGUCCGAGUCAUGAUCGACGUCAUUUAUUACUUAGUUAAAGUUAUUAAUUUAUUGAUUUUUUAUUAAUCAAGAUUUUAAAAUAUAUAUAUAAAACCUGAAACACUACUUAUUAUCUCAUUUAACUAAAAUAAUCUAUAAUAUUACUCAAAUAGGCUUAUAUUAGAAUAACAAAAAAUAAAAAUUAAUAAAAUAUUGAUUAAUUAAAUAAUUUAUCUAAUUCUGUAAGUACAAUAUAUCAAAUAAUUAAAAUUAAUAAAUUUAAUUUAUAAAAUUUUAAUAUUUUUUUGGAUAAAGUAUAAAUACAGAUAUAAAUAAAGUAGUAUAGUAUCCGUACCCGGUCAGCUCAGGUAUUUCUGAGUCUGACUGAAUAAGCAGGCAGUGAGUAUUCAAGGGUAGAGUUACAAAGUCUAAUCUUUAUUUUUGUAUCACUACCUCGUUCAUAUAUUUUAAAUAGAAAGAAAAGGUUUCAGUUCUGUCAUAAUAUCUUUUUCUUUUGGCUUAUCUACUCCAACGAGCUAUGUUAAACGUUUCCUCCCAUCAACUUAAACUUACUGUUUUACAGAUUAAGUUAUUUCUAAUUGUCCCUUUUGUGAGGUGAUCGAAUUUUGAUUCGCUUCACAUCACUAAUAAAAAUGUUAAUCAGGUGUUCCUAAUUGUCUUUUUCUUUUCUAAUUACAAAGAGGCAAGAAUCAGAAAACUAAAUAACAACAGCACGAGAGAGGGGAACAACAACAGCAUCAUGAUGAAGCCAAUAACCAAGCAUGCCAAGGGGAUGAGGAACAAAGUGAUAGCCAACAGGGAGAAAACCAACAUAAUUGGCAAGGUAAUCCGCAGCAUAAUUUGCCUCCCCAUAAACAUGAACCAGCUUGAUAUCCCAGUUUCUAAAAAGCAACCGACUAAUUUCAGCAAUUAGAGAACUGUUUGAACCUUGAACCAAGUGAAUAGCAUAUUGAUUAUCCACUUCCCCAAUGAGCUUCCUAAUCCCAAGCUCUCAAGCUAAACGGAUUCCAUGGAAUUCUGCUCGAGUAAUAGAACAUGCUCCAAUGUUCACAGCAAACCCACAAAUCCAACCACUGAGAUAAUUCCUAACUAAACCACCUGCUGUAGCUAAGCCAACAUUACCCUUGAAAGAUCCACGUGUUCACCUUGUACCAAUCAUCUGGGGGAGGGGACCAACUAACUUGCUUCACAAUUUGCUCAUUAAUACGCAUGUUAGAGACGUCCAGGCCAUGACACCUCCCAAUUCCAAGACUCUAGUUCGAAUAUCUUUAACCAGGAGAUGGACAGGAACCUCACCAUUGAAAACAACCCUGUUCCUACGAUUCCAAAGACUCCAAACCGCCACACCAAACAAAGACUUCCACACAGUGUUGUCUUUCAUAGUAAAGUCCAAAUUGAUGUAAUGAAUAACCCAAUCCUUUAACGAAAGAGCAAAGAACAUACCUUUGAGCUGGGUGGGUAAAAAGCCAUCCCACAUUUGCUUCGCAAUAACACAGUCCUUAACCACAUGAACGGCUUCUUCCAUAUCAGCAGUGAGAUGACGGCGAACCCGUUCAACAUUAAAUUAUAUCAAAGAUUUUCGCUUAUAAUCUCAUAGUGGCGUGGGUUAUGGCAUCUACAUUUUGGGCAAAAGAAUUUUGGAUUGUGGGCUAGUUGGACCCAAGCCUAUCAGGCCCAAAUAAACAAUGCCAAGGAGGUGUUCUUCAACACUCAGCUCAGCCCAUGGUAAAAGAUUGCUUGGGGACUCCUAUAUAUUAAUGGUAUGUGAAAUCUCCCUUGCUUUUUGUACUUGGGCAAAGGGUUAAGGAAUAGAGAAUUUAACACUCUUUUUUCUCCUCUUAUUUCAAGAAUUGAUUCAAGCGUAAAAGUAAGCAUUUGGAUAUGAGCAAUGCAUGUGCUAUGUCAGAUAAUUGCCAUUUUCCUAUUAUUAUUCACAAUGAUUUAAGUAUUUCUUUUAUUCAAUAAUGAAAGGCUCUAUUGUUAUUAAAAUGUUGUACCUUAUCAUCAACUUAAAUCACUACAUUUGGAUAUUUAACAAGGUGAUGACAAAUCUUUCCUUAUUGACUAAAAAACACAAUUAUGUGGUUAGGAAUGAGGACAUUAAUUGGAACAUUCUAGAUUAAACAAAAAUGAUGGUUUCCUCUUCCUAUACUUGCAAUAAUAUUCUAUUUAAAUGUGUUUUUUUUUUUUAAGGUCAGCAAUAAUAGAUUCCAAAAAAUGAAAAAACAAAUAGCAUGCUAUCAAAUCUCAAAGAAAAUUAACUCUGUUGUUUAACAAAAGAAAAAAAAAAAAGAAAAUUAACUCUGUUUAUGACCUACAAACUUUUAAAUAAUUUACAUAAUAUGGUAGUGGGACUUUGGUUAAAAAGACAAUUUAGGAUUGAUAUUCCUAAGAUUACGUUUAACCUAAGAGUAUCAAUAAUAACUAAAUUUGAUACAAGAAAAAAUAAAAAACUAAUUAUUGUAUGACAUAUUAUGUAUUUAUUUAUAAAUAUAGGAAGCUUAAAUCAGUUGAUAAAAUAUUUGUUUUAGAAAAACUCUCUCAUAUUAAAUAAAUUAUCACAUUUUUGCUAUGCUAUUAAUGCUGAGUAUUUGCUUUCAUAUUCUGUCCAAGCCUGGAGGAAGAUUAAUUAGAAAGCGUAAAUCAAAAAAAGAUUCAGUCUGGAUAUAUUAUAUAAAAAAAAAUUACCAUUAACGAUAAAUAAAAAGAAUAUAUAUUUCGACAAAAUAUUAAUAUGCAUAUAAAAGGUGAUUAUUUUUAUUUUAUGAAUAGUAAAGUAUUAUAUUAUUUAUUUCUAAAUUUUGACAUAAAGUUUAAACAAUGAGCUUACGAAGUUAGAAUGAAAAAUCUUUUAAAAAGAAUUGUUAUAAAUUGUAAUGAAAAAUAAGGGGAGGAAAUUUAAAGUAACAAAAUUAAAUUGAACUUUCACAAUUAAAAGAAAAAGUGGAGAAUUAAACCAUUUCUUUCCGAACAAGAAAAGAAGGAAAAUUAGCUUUGCCUCUCAUAUAAAGACCCAGAAACUGCUUCAAUAAUUUCAGAUCCCAAUUUAAUCGAAACAUUUUCUUUUGCUGUUUAUCAAAUUCUCUCUAUCUCUCGACCAUGUCUAACCAACCCGAAUCAUCCGACUCGUAAGUAUCUCUAUUUCGUCAUUACUCGCUACAUUCACUUAUGUUAUCCACCUAAUUUUUCUUAUUCUUAAUUUCAAUUUGCUUUUUUUAAGAAAAUAUUUGGAAAGCAAUAGUAACUUCAAGAUUCUUGAGGUCUUUUUUGUUAAUGGGUAUUUGUUUUUGCUUUUGAUUUUUCAGGAAGGGAACAAAAAGGGAUUUUAGUACUGCGAUUUUAGAGCGAAAGAAGUCACCAAAUCGGCUUGUUGUUGAUGAAGCUAUUAAUGAUGAUAACUCUGUUGUUUCUCUUCAUCCUGAAACUAUGGAGAAGCUCCAGCUCUUUCGUGGUGACACGAUCUUGAUUAAGGUUUUUAAUUUUUAAUUCUUCUACUUCUUGGCUUGGAUUAUUGUUCUGGGUUGUUAUUGGAUUUCUGAUUAUGUGUUUCUAUACUCUGUUCUAAUGUUCAUUUGGAUUAGGAUCGAGAUUUAGGGUUUUGCGUAGUUUGUUAAUUGUUGUACAGAAGAUCCAAGAACUGGAUUUUCUUUAUGUUAUAGAUAUUAUGGUAUAUGAAGCUAUGUUUUUAUCUGACUGAGGGUUUGAUCACCUAUCUGCUUUUUAAUGGUACACUGUGCUGGUUUGCUUUGUUUCAUGUUUAACUUGGGCACUGAUUGGCCGCUUUUUAAAUUGGAAUUGGCUUUUAUAGGGAACUUAUACUGUUAAGGUUGCUUGUGUUCAGCUUGUGAAGUGGGUUUGCUUCUUAUUUGGUUGUGUGAAUGUUUUAUGGAGAUUAUGAUAUAUGAAGCUGUUUCUCAAUGAUUGUGGUUUAGCUACUGCCUAUACGGAAAAUUACUACUAAAAUAUUGUUGGUCUGCUUAUUUCAAAGUUCAACUAAAGCAUUGAAUGAAGGCUGUUUACUAGACUUCAAAAAGAAAUCGCCUUCUGUGUUGGUCUUAAUAUUGUUAAUCUUGCUUGUAUUAAGCUUGUGAAUGCUUUUAAUUAAUUACUGCCUUAAGAAUGUUAUAAACCCAUUUUGCUUAUUUGCUGAGUGUAUUGCUGUGUUGCUUUGUCAUGUUUAGGGAAAGAAAAGGAAGGAUACUAUCUGCAUUGCCCUUGCCGAUGGCUCUUGUGACGAGCCAAAGAUCAGGAUGAACAAGGUUGUGAGGUCAAACCUGAGAGUUAGGCUUGGAGAUGUUGUCUCUGUGCACCAAUGUCCUGAUGUCAAAUAUGGAAAGCGUGUGCACAUACUCCCUAUUGAUGACACAAUUGAAGGAGUCACUGGAAAUCUGUUCGAUGCAUACUUGAAACGUGAGUUUAUUCUGAAAUUUUCAUUUGCAAGCAGUACUUUAAGACGACCAGUCGUUGCAUGAUGCCUUUAUCUUGUCUUUUAUUUAGACUUUCUGCUUUAGAGGAAACUCUAAUAUCAAUAUAUCCUUUGUCCUCAAUUUUACUGCCUGUGCUGUUUAUGUGCAUGUUGGCACAAAGACUCACCAAAAGUAGUUACAUGUUUCAUCAUAAGUAUUUCCAUCUAUUCUUCAGAUGCUGUACUGAGUUUUUACAUAUAUAUUUGUGUCUUUUCUCAUUCAUGCGUUAGUACUUGAUAGUCGAGGAAGAUUUUAAUUUCCAAGUUUUGAUAUUACUUCUAUUUUGACUAGAAUUAGUUUCUAUGAAAAUGGAACUGUUUACUCUUCAAUGCAUGCAUGUGGAAGUUUGAGUUGCUGAUUCAAACAAUUUUGGAUCUAUCUAUAGAAAUGACAAAGUUGAUUUUUCCCAGGAGUAUUUGGAUUAUCAUAUUUCUUUUCCCUUCCUAGAAAAUAAUAUCUGUUACUGUUAGUUUUCCACUGUCCAAAAUUUUUUGCCAACUCUUUGGAAAUGUUGACUGCCUAGUUCUUAAUCAGUGAGUGUCUUGGAUUUGUGGUGUAGAUCGCUUAUAAUUUCUAGUUGAGUUCUGCUCCUCUCAUUUUGUGUGCAUUACACUGAGCCUGUUGAUUGAUAUCCGCAGCUUAUUUCCUCGAGGCGUAUCGCCCAGUCAGGAAGGGUGAUCUCUUCCUCGUGAGGGGAGGAAUGAGAAGCGUGGAAUUCAAGGUUAUUGAGACCGACCCUGCAGAGUACUGUGUGGUCGCCCCUGACACUGAGAUUUUCUGUGAGGGUGAGCCUGUGAGGAGAGAAGAUGAGAAUAGAUUAGAUGAAGUUGGCUAUGAUGAUGUUGGUGGUGUUAGAAAACAGAUGGCUCAGAUUAGGGAGCUGGUGGAGCUUCCACUGAGGCAUCCACAGCUAUUCAAAUCAAUUGGUGUUAAGCCACCAAAAGGAAUUUUGCUUUAUGGACCUCCUGGUUCUGGGAAGACUCUUAUUGCCCGGGCUGUUGCCAAUGAAACUGGUGCUUUCUUCUUCUGUAUUAAUGGACCUGAGAUCAUGUCAAAAUUGGCUGGGGAGAGUGAAAGCAAUCUUAGAAAAGCUUUUGAGGAAGCAGAGAAAAAUGCACCAUCCAUCAUUUUUAUUGAUGAGAUUGAUUCAAUUGCUCCCAAGAGAGAGAAGACACAUGGAGAGGUGGAGAGGAGGAUAGUCUCCCAGCUAUUAACACUUAUGGAUGGACUUAAAUCCCGUGCGCAUGUUAUUGUCAUUGGGGCCACAAAUCGCCCCAACAGCAUUGACCCUGCUUUGAGAAGGUUUGGCAGAUUUGAUAGGGAAAUUGACAUUGGUGUACCAGACGAAGUUGGGCGACUUGAAGUUCUCAGAAUCCAUACGAAGAACAUGAAGCUUGCAGAAGAUGUGAAUAUUAAAUGCUAUUUUCUUUUAUUGAUUGUUUCCUUUUCUAUUUCUCCUACUCAGUCUUUGAUAGAAUUCCACUUCUGGGAUUUUUUUUACAGGUUGAUUUGGAAAGAAUUUCCAAAGACACACAUGGUUAUGUUGGUGCUGAUUUGGCAGCUCUGUGCACUGAGGCUGCACUUCAAUGCAUCAGGGAGAAGAUGGAUGUGAUCGACUUAGAAGAUGAAUCAAUAGAUGCUGAGAUACUUAACUCUAUGGCAGUGAGUAAUGAACACUUCCAAACUGCACUUGGAACAAGUAACCCAUCUGCUCUGCGCGAAACAGUGAGUCUCCACGAGAUGUUUUUAUGGAUCCUCUGUCACUUCUUUCAAUGACUAUCAUUUUGUUAAGUUUCUAAUUAAGGAUAUUUGGUCCAGGUUGUUGAAGUGCCCAAUGUGAGUUGGGAAGAUAUUGGAGGCCUUGAGAAUGUUAAGAGGGAGCUUCAAGAGGUAUUUGCUUUUGAUACAUUGGGUUGCAUGUGUUUGACUUGCAUUCUGGACUAUGUAUGGCUUUCUUUUCUCAUGGAUAUGUCUUGUCAUUUGUGUGAUGCAGACUGUUCAAUAUCCAGUGGAGCACCCUGAGAAAUUCGAGAAAUUCGGAAUGUCACCCUCUAAGGGAGUUCUUUUCUAUGGCCCUCCUGGAUGUGGGAAAACUCUUCUGGCUAAAGCUAUUGCCAAUGAGUGCCAGGCAAAUUUCAUCAGUGUGAAGGGUCCUGAAUUGCUUACAAUGUG
RNAcentral lists this long non-coding RNA (8837 nucleotides) under Ricinus communis (castor bean). Its description in RNAcentral is "long non-coding RNA (RCOM_LNC001095)". Lineage: Eukaryota; Viridiplantae; Streptophyta; Magnoliopsida; Malpighiales; Euphorbiaceae. The record is from RNAcentral.